Molecule: ribosomal RNA, 253 nt
Filed under: uncultured bacterium
Lineage: Bacteria
Description: partial 16S ribosomal RNA
Rfam family: Bacterial small subunit ribosomal RNA
Source: RNAcentral
UACGUAGGGUGCAAGCGUUAAUCGGAAUUACUGGGCGUAAAGCGUGCGCAGGCGGUUAUGCAAGACAGAUGUGAAAUCCCCGGGCUCAACCUGGGAACUGCAUUUGUGACUGCAUAGCUAGAGUACGGUAGAGGGGGAUGGAAUUCCGCGUGUAGCAGUGAAAUGCGUAGAUAUGCGGAGGAACACCGAUGGCGAAGGCAAUCCCCUGGACCUGUACUGACGCUCAUGCACGAAAGCUAGGGGAGCAAACAGG